This 66-nucleotide transfer RNA is filed under the name unidentified. Its description in RNAcentral is "Dimorphopterus gibbus tRNA-Leu". The record is from RNAcentral.
ACUAUUUUGGCAGAAUUGAUGUGAUAAAUUUAGAAUUUAUUUAUGUAAUUUAUAUUACAAAUAGUA